ACCGUGUUCUCUUUUCGACUCCCUCUGCAUAUUUGCAAACAAAUGGCAGAAUUUUCUCCAUCUCCUAAAAUUGUUAUUCGUAUUUACAGAUAGCAUCCAAGUUUGUUUUAAGGCACAUGAAAGUUCACAUGUUCCAGAAGGCAUUUCUGCCUAAAUGCAUUUUGAUUCAUUAUUAUUUUUUUAUCCGUUCAAAUGCCUCUCCUGUGAAGUAGUGGCGUGAGACAUACGCCUAGCUUCCUGAAACGGGUCACAUAUGCCCAUUCCACCCUAUCGAACGCUUUUUCAGCAUCUAAUGAUUCUGCCACUUUUGGAACAUUUCAAAUUCCUGGGCAGCAAUCUUUGCAGAGGGGUUUAUUAUGUUAUAUUCAAGUUUCAAAGUGUUCAACUGUUGAAUGGUGUCAAUGUUUCUAUCUGUUUUAUUUCUAAGUUGUGGAUUUUCUUUAAUAGUAUUUCACAUUUUCUAUUGGUCUUAUGUGAAGAGUAAAACAAAAUUAUUCUAGCAAACUUGGUGUUGGAGUCGUGCAUGGCCACACAGUCGUGGGUGAACAGGGAGUACAGAUGGGGACUAAGCACACACCCCCGAGGGCCCCUGUUUUUAUGGUCAGCAUGGUGGAUGUGUUGCCUACCGGCUACUGAAGGCUACACUCAGACAAGGCUGGUGGUCUGCUGUUGGCCACCCAUCUCUGUGUGAUUGAGAUAUGUGUGGUACAGUAUCUGCCGAUUUUAUAUCGUUUUUUUUUUUUUAGGUAAUGAAAAACAUUUUUUUUUAUACAAAUUGUGCUCCAAAGGAUUAAUAGACCCUAAAUUAUGAUUUCUUAACUACACUAAACAAAAAUAUAAAUGCAACAUGUAAAGUGUUGUUCCCAUGUUUCAUGAGUUGAAAUAAAAGAUCCCAG
This 896-nucleotide long non-coding RNA is filed under the name Salmo salar (Atlantic salmon). RNAcentral's name for it is "lncRNA (ENSSSAG00000092549.1)". The record is from RNAcentral. Lineage: Eukaryota; Metazoa; Chordata; Actinopteri; Salmoniformes; Salmonidae.